This 410-nucleotide ribosomal RNA is filed under the name uncultured bacterium. RNAcentral describes it as "bacterial SSU rRNA". It matches the Rfam family "Bacterial small subunit ribosomal RNA", at positions 354 to 776 of the family's 1533-position model. The record is from RNAcentral.
GUGGGGAAUAUUGCACAAUGGGCGCAAGCCUGAUGCAGCAACGCCGCGUGCGGGAUGACGGCCUUCGGGUUGUAAACCGCUUUCAGUUCCGACGAAGCGCAAGUGACGGUAGGAACAGAAGAAGGACCGGCCAACUACGUGCCAGCAGCCGCGGUGAUACGUAGGGUCCGAGCGUUGUCCGGAAUUAUUGGGCGUAAAGGGCUUGUAGGCGGUUUGUCACGUCGGAAGUGAAAACUCAGGGCUUAACCCUGAGCCUGCUUCCGAUACGGGCAAACUAGAGGAAUGCAGGGGAGAAUGGAAUUCCUGGUGGAGCGGUGGAAUGCGCAGAUAUCAGGAGGAACACCGGUGGCGAAGGCGGUUCUCUGGGCAUUUCCUGACGCUGAGAAGCGAAAGCGUGGGGAGCAAACAGG